Pipra filicauda (Wire-tailed manakin) is the source of this 2403-nucleotide long non-coding RNA. RefSeq lists it as uncharacterized. The record is from RefSeq and is a predicted model, not a curated record. Lineage: Eukaryota; Metazoa; Chordata; Aves; Passeriformes; Pipridae. The transcript is spliced from 4 exons.
UCAGAUUUGAAUAAUGUAAUCCUUCAUAUUUUAGUAGCUUUCUGUUCACUUUGACUUUAGCUCUGACUAUCUCUUGUUCCCCCUUAUCUCAGCUGUUUCAUUUUGGCAUGUCAAGGAAGAGGAAGAGAAGAGGCUGCAAAUGUGUAGGGACAGUGCCUGUGGAGCAGAUCACCUCUGGGACAUCCAGCUGAAAUGUUUGAAACGCCUUCGAGUUUGGCAGCUUUCCGUUUGCUUUCCCUUUUCCUUCCUUUUUUUAGUCCUCCAGUAAUAGCUCCCUUGUUCCAAAGAACAAAACCAGCACUUAGUGGUCAUUCAGAAAGAUUCAUUAAAAACAGGAAUGGAGUAAUUGUAAACAGGCACCCCCCUCCUAUCAUCCCCCCCCCUUCCAUUCUAGCCCAGGGCACAGCAGCCUUGUGUUGUCUGGCUCCAGACAAUUUUUGGGAGAAAAAAAGAAACAAUAGUCUUUGGAGGUUAAAAUAACCUUUCCUUAUUCAGCUGUUACAGUACUUUCUUAGAAAACUAAGAGAAUAACCACAAUUUUAAUAUUUUAAAACAUCGCACUUUGACUGAUAAAUGUUCUCUUGUUGUAAAAUCAAAGCAUGACUCUUUUCUAGUAAAAUAGAUGUAGUAACUGUGCUAAGAUUUUAUUGCAAGAGGCAAGAAAGGUGGGAAACAGCAAUGGGGAGGUUAGAUAUGGCAAUUUUCUUAUAGACUGGGGUAAUCAGUGUUUAAUAAAUCUGUAAUUCACUCCUGGGUUGUCUUUUUUACAAGAGCUAUCCAAUAAUAUUGCAGAUUUGUGAACCUUUGUGCUUACCAAGAGUUAUUGGCAGUGGCAUAGUUUGUGAGGAAUAGAGGUAAUUUGCUGGAUUUGUGACGUUUGUGGAAAUUGUUUCAUCACUAAGAGACUUCUUUAAUUACAGAAUUAUGGAAGGGAGCUGCAGAUGUGCUCUGGGUUCCCCUCCUCCCUCCCCUUUGCCUCUGCAGCUGCAGAGCCCUUGCAGAGUGUCUCCUGCCUUCCCACCCUCAUCAGCUCUGCCCGGGACUGAACAGAAGCUGGGGCUGCUAAAAUGCCUGGGGUUUAGGUGCAGAAAUAUUUUAACAGUUCCAACUGCUCCAAAACUGAGCUUUUUAUCAGUAAUAGCCAGUGUUCAUUGAACAAGGGCUGGGUACUUAUUAAAUAAUUGCAGCAUUUUUGAGAGCCAGAUGGUUUGGCAGCACUCCUUGAGUAAACUAUUUUGUUAUCUGCACUAGUGUGAGAAGCACUUUUCAAUUGGAGAAGCAGCUGACUUCAAAAGCAGGACAAUCAGUGUGUUGGUCUGACCUGGCAUGGAGUUGCCCAGAGAUAAACUGGAUUUGAAUGAGCCCCAGCAGAAGAGGCCAGAGCAGGAAAGCAUGGGGAAGGACAGCACGUAUAGGGUCUCUUCAUAUAACAAAUGUAAGGAGACAGGUUUUGUGUGCACGCUGCCGGACUGAUGGGAUGUGGCACAGCUUCUUCCACCUCCAGCUGAACCUUGUGGCAGAAGACAGUUGAAACCCCAGGUCUGGUUUAGCUAAUGUGAAGAGAGAGACCAAGAUCAAGUGAAGCUAUUUAUCUGAAAAUGAUGUGUGACCUUCUUUAAGAUCAAGGAAGCAGCAAUCCUGAGCGCCCACCAGUCCUGUGCUCCAUGAAUCCAGUGAUCAAUAGAGGUGCAGUACAUUGGAGUGCCUCCACAGGUUUCCAAACUGAGGGAAAGAUAAAGUUCAAAAUGGCAGAGAAUGUGUCCUGGAGAGCCAAGAAAGGGACAGGCUAUGGCUUUGAUUGGAAGAGCAUCAAAGUGCUGUAGAAGAGGAAGAAGGGAGGAGAAAAAAAAUCCAAACAAAACUCAAAACAAACAGAUGAACUGAAUGGCUUUCAGAAACAUGAGAGAGGCCUUCUGAUUUGGGCUCAGAGCUGGAAUAUGUCUUAAAUCUCAGGCUACUAUGUCAAUUAAAUUCAGUUACAAAGGAGAGCAAGCACAUGCCUCUGGGAGCCAAAGGGAAAUAUUGAUAAAUAAACUGCAGUGGAUAGUUCUUCCAUUCCUAACAAACAAUGCUGGUAAAGAGGACAAUGGGGGUGCUGUUUUGAUGAGAUUCUAAUCCGUGACUGGAAUAGCUUAGCGUAAAACAUGGAAAUUUUGCUUUGUCAGAGGCCUGUGAAUGGUACUGAAAUUGUAAUUGUGGUCAGUGCUAUUGUGAGACCCAAACACUGGAAGAUGUGAUCUUUGCCAUGAGUUUUCACAUGUUCUUUUUAUGUGCCUGGUGGCCUAUGUAUAAAAGCCUUGUCAUAGUUUGAAGAGCAGGGAGCAAAUGGACUUGCUAAUGCCCGGGAGUUGGUCUUCAGUUAGCACAUGGAUUGCUGUGAACUCAGCAGCAUUUAUUGCAUGG